GGUUAGGGUUAGGGUUAGGAUUAGGGUCAGGGUUAGGUUUAAGGGUUAAGGUUUAGGGUUAGGAUUAGGAUUAGGGUUAGGGUUAGGGUUAGGGUUAGGGUUAGGGUUAAGGUUUAGGGUUAGGGUUAGGGUUAGGAUUAGGGUCAGGGUUAGGUUUAAGGUUUAGGGUUAGGAUUAGGAUUAGGGUUAGGAUUAGGAUUAGGGUUAGGGUUAAGGUUUAGGGUUAGGGUUAAGGUUAGGUUUAGGGUUAAGGUUAGGGUUAGGGUUAAGGUUAGGGUUAGGGUUAAGGUUUAGGGUUAGGAUUAGGGUCAGGGUG
Long non-coding RNA from Oncorhynchus tshawytscha (Chinook salmon), 316 nucleotides. NCBI's taxonomy places the organism in Eukaryota, Metazoa, Chordata, Actinopteri, Salmoniformes, Salmonidae. The record is from Ensembl.